RNAcentral lists this unclassified non-coding RNA (2303 nucleotides) under Acromyrmex echinatior (Panamanian leafcutter ant). The record is from RNAcentral. Lineage: Eukaryota; Metazoa; Arthropoda; Insecta; Hymenoptera; Formicidae.
AUUUUAGGCGGAAACAAGUAUAUUGUGCGUGGUGUAUCGACGCAUCUUAUAAUAUCUCACGAUUCUCUCGGUGUUAUCGCUGAUUUUGCGAGUAUCUGAUAUUGUUGAUAAUUCGGUUAAUAAGUAUACGACGAGUACGUGUGUUGCAUUAGUAACAUCGUUAUCAGUUACUACGAAGCCGUAACUGUGAAGUAGAAAAGAUAAAACGAUAGCUUAAAUCGAGAACGCUAACAUGGGCUCCAACAAACGUCACAAAACUGAAAAAUCUCGCGAUACCAAAAAGAAGCGUCAUCGCAGUCGCUCCAGAAGCUACACGCCCGAUCGCGAAAAGUCAGAGAAGCAUAGGCAUCAUAAGAAACACAGGAGAAAAGAACGCAAAGACUACGAUAGCGAUGUUGAAAUUGUUAAUGCUCCGCCGCCACCAAAAAUAUCUAAAUCAUCGCAUCCGUCGACACCUCCUCCACCUGAAAUCUCGAAACAGCGUAGUCCAUCCCCUGCUAAAGGUGGAGCGUCGCAAACCUCAUUAUCUAUCGAAGAAACUAACAAAAUUCGUGCAAAAUUAGGAUUAAAACCAUUGGAAGUAGAUAAUACAUCUAAAGAUGAUCCUAGCAAAAUUAAAGAUGAUCUGGGCGAAUUUUAUCAUAAACCUGCACCAAACAAUAGUGAUAAGAUAAAAGCACAGAAAUUGAGAGAAAAGAUAGGUACUCAGAAGGAAAAGAGACAAAUUGAGGCAAAUUUGUCAAAAAUGAAAAGUUUGGGUGAAAUUGAUUCGGAUGAUGAUACUCAAGUAUGGAUCAACAAAUCUAGGCAGCUAGAGGAAGAGAAGAAAAAAGCAGAAAUGAGAGCAAAAAUGUUGGAUCAAUUGGAUGAAGAAUUUGGAAUCGGGAAUUUGGUUAAAGAGGAAAUAUAUACUGCCCGCAACACGGCAUAUACAGAGAAAGAUUUGAAAGGCCUUAAAGUCGAGCAUAAUCUUGAAACGUUUGAGGAAGGCAAGACUGUAAUCCUAACAUUAAAAGAUCAAGAAGUAUUAAAUGAAAAUGAUGAUUUACUUGUAAAUGUGAAUAUGAUCGACAAUGAACGAUAUAAACGUAGUGUUUUAAAUAAAAUUAAGAAACCUACAUAUGAUCCAUAUGCCGAUGAAAAUUUCGACGAAUAUGGAUUUCCUAAAAACAAGAUUUUAGAAAAGUAUGAUGAAGAAAUUGAUGGUGAAAAAAAAGACAAUUUCAUGUUGGGUGCUAAUAAUGCAAUAGAAUUUAAACGACGUCAGAUAGAGACAGUAAAGCAACGCUUGGCAAAUAAAAAAUUAGAAACGCUACAAAUGGCAGAACCAAAAUUAGCGAGUGAAUAUUAUAAUGAAGAGGAACUUGCAAAAUUCAAGAAACCAAAGAAGAAGAUUCGAAAAAUUAGAACGAAAAAGAAAUUGAAAGCAGAUGAUUUAGUCCCUGUGGACAAUGAUUAUCUUCGAGAUCUUGGAAGUAGGAGAAGAAAAAAACCGGAAGAUUCGAAGGAUAAUGAUACUUUAGAUGUCGAUGAUUUAGAAGCUCCUGCAGAAGAUCUUACUGGAAUAAAACUUGAAGAAGAUGAUAAGGAAUUAGAAUUACAAUUGACUUUAAAAAAAACUCAACGUUUGAAGGAGGGACAUUCAGCUAGCAUCCAGAAAACUAUUGAAACAAUAAAACAUGAAAUUCUUAACUCUGAGGAAAGUCAAUCUGGAAAUAUUGUUCUUAAUUCUACUGCAGAAUUUUGUAGGACCUUGGGUGAUAUACCCACUUAUGGACUCGCUGGAAAUAGAGAGGAAAAUGGACAAGAACUUAUGGAUUUUGAAAUGGACGGAAUCAAAGAGGAACCGCCUGCAAACGAAGAAGAAGACGAUGGUCGUGGUGCUUGGAAUACAGUGCAUUUAGAUGAGAACAUUUCGGAACCAGUUGUAAUGGAGGCAGCAAUUCUAGAUGCCGAGCCGUCACUCGGUCACGGGGUAGGUGGAGCUUUAAAAUUAGCUAUGAGUAAAGGUUACUUACAGAAAGAGGACAGCAAUCGCCCUUCAGCGUCACGUUUCGCACAUCUGCAAGCUCAGAAUUAUUCGAUAGAGGACAAAACAUAUGGUUAACAGUUUUAAAUAGAGCCCGGAAAUCGGUGCUCGGAACGGGUGAUCCACUACCACUACGAGAGUUUACCGCUUAAUCGGAGGUGAACACAAGGCCUGAGAAGAGAGUAGGAUUUGUUAAGGGAUGAUGAUAAGUUCGGCAGAAGAGAUCGUUUUAAUGGACCGACAUCCGAUUUUAAGGAGAAAGAAGGUUUCAAAC